GAAGUGAUAGAAAAAUUCUGAAGAAAAAAUAAAAAAGGAAAGGGAAGAAAAAUAGAAAGAAAGAGAGAAAGAAAAAGGAAAAGUAUGAGGUACUUGUCCUAAAAUCAGAUUGUUCAUGUGUUGAACAUAAAAUCUGAUUAGAGUGUGGUUUGAUACUUUGGAAAAGAGUUUCUAGAGUGGUCCUGUUGAAGGUCAUAAAGGCAUACAAGCAAUGGUGUAUCAAGUUCUUGUGAAGGA
RNAcentral lists this long non-coding RNA (237 nucleotides) under Elaeis guineensis (African oil palm). Its description in RNAcentral is "long non-coding RNA (EGUI_LNC055797)". Lineage: Eukaryota; Viridiplantae; Streptophyta; Magnoliopsida; Arecales; Arecaceae. The record is from RNAcentral.